RNAcentral lists this ribosomal RNA (197 nucleotides) under uncultured bacterium. Its description in RNAcentral is "partial 16S ribosomal RNA". It matches the Rfam family "Bacterial small subunit ribosomal RNA", at positions 328 to 539 of the family's 1533-position model. The record is from RNAcentral.
ACGCUCGACACCUACGUGAGGCAGCAGUGGGGAAUAUUGCGCAAUGGGGGAAACCCUGAUGCAGCGACGCCGCGUGAAGGAAGAAGUAUCUCGGUAUGUAAACUUCUAUCAGCAGGGAAGAAAAUGACGGUACCUGACUAAGAAGCCCCGGCUAACUACGUGCUAGCAGCCGCGGUAAUCUGAGCGGCUGGCAAGGC